UACGGAGGAUGCGAGUGUUAUCCGGAUUCAUUGGGUUUAAAGGGUGCGUAGGCGGAAUAUUAAGUCAGCGAUGAAAUCCUGCAGCUUAACUGUAGAACUGUCAUUGAUACUGGUAUUCUUGAAUGCAGUUGAGGUAGGCGGAAUGUGUAAUGUAGCGGUGAAAUGCUUAGAUAUUACACAGAACACCGAUUGCGAAGGCAGCUUACUAAACUGUGAUUGACGCUGAGGCACGAAAGCGUGGGGAG
This 245-nucleotide ribosomal RNA is filed under the name uncultured bacterium. RNAcentral's name for it is "partial 16S ribosomal RNA". It matches the Rfam family "Bacterial small subunit ribosomal RNA", at positions 524 to 768 of the family's 1533-position model. The record is from RNAcentral.